GGGCGCUUAGCUCAGUCGGUAGAGCAUCUGACUUUUAAUCAGAGGGUCGCAGGUUCGAUCCCUGCAGCGCCCACCA
Molecule: transfer RNA, 76 nt
Filed under: Holosporales bacterium
Lineage: Bacteria; Pseudomonadati; Pseudomonadota; Alphaproteobacteria; Holosporales
Description: tRNA-Lys
Rfam family: tRNA
About the family: Transfer RNA (tRNA) molecules are approximately 80 nucleotides in length.
Source: RNAcentral